RNAcentral lists this transfer RNA (64 nucleotides) under Phrynocephalus arabicus (Arabian toadhead agama). Its description in RNAcentral is "tRNA-Met". The record is from RNAcentral. Lineage: Eukaryota; Metazoa; Chordata; Lepidosauria; Squamata; Agamidae.
AUUAGGAUCUGCUACAGUAAGCAGUUGGGCUCAUGCCCCAAAAAUGGUAACUCACCUCCUAAUA